GAUUGCAUUAGUUGUUUUACUGGGACCUUGAUAAGGGACUUCAAUAUUGCUACAUACAUGAUUUGUCUGUUCCUGAAGGGAAUUAUUUUAAGAAAUUGCAUGGAGUAUGCUUAUGGAAAGUCUACGCAUUUCUACAGGCACUUAUGAUCACACAUAUACAUACUAAAGAAAAUAAUUUAUAUAUAUUUAGGGAAACAUAAAUUAUUAGGAUAAAUUUAGUUCUCAGUAAUCAGAUUGAGGGCUUUCUUAGAAAAAAUCUCAUUGAUGUUCUUGACCCCUGUUGAUCUAUUUCUCUGUUUCACAUCUUGCCUACAUCUCUCCCUUUGUAGAUAUAGGAGAGAGGGAUAGGGUCGGUUUCUGUCUAAUCUGACUAUAUGUUGAUUUCAGGACACAAUUGGAAGGUAUUACUGUGUUGGAUUGAAGCAUGCUAAUGAUAUCAUCGGAACAACCACAGAGGAGCUUGUCCUCAAGGCAAAACAGGGUUCCUUGAUUUCCUGAUGCUGUGUGGCUAAGGACCUAAGGUGUUAAUUCUGCUAUCAAGCACCUAAGAGCAGACAAUUCAGAUUAGAGGUUUUCCAGUUCUUUUUUUUCUUGUUUGUUUUUUUUUUAUUUUAUUUAAUGGGUUCUUUCUAAAGGCACUUGUCUAUUAAUGUAUGUAAUUUGAUUUGACAAGUUUAUUCCCAUUCUUUCUUUUCUCUAUCUCUCUCAAAGGAAAAAAAACAACAAAAAAAAACUGUGUGCAUGUAAUUUGGCAAGAUUUCCAGAUUGUGAAUCUGUCCAGGAUGCAAAAGCCUACUGUUAUGCUAAGAACAUCCAUGUUGUGUUGGAUGGAAUUUUGGGAAUGGUUUCUUUGUGGAAUCCUUUGUAAGAUGAUCGUCAGCAGCGAAAUGAAGAGCCACUUUUUUGCUUCUUUGUGGUUGUUGCCUUGUUGGGAAUAUAGGACAUGAAAGCUUGGGUUUUGGCAAUGCCAUUCCGGAUGAGAUCUCCUCAUCCGGAUUCCACCUCCUUCCUAAAAUGCAUUCCAUUGAAUUGCCUUGACUGACACCGGAUACUAGACACUAGUCACACUAUGUAGCAGGACAAAUCUGUAAAGAACUACUGUCUCUGCUCAACUCCAACUUGGAGAUUCUAACUCUAGAAGGAUGUGUAAACCUGGAGCUUCUUCCAAGAGGCAUUUACAAGUGGAAACACCUUCAAACUUUGUCUUGCAAUGGCUGUUCAAAGCUAGAGAGAUUUCCAGAAAUCAAAGGCAAUAUGAGAGAGCUAAGGGUGCUUGAUUUGAGUGGAACAGCUAUAAUGGACUUACCAUCAUCAAUUACACAUCUAAAUGGUCUUCAAACUCUCCUACUUCAAGAGUGUUUAAAGCUCCACCAAAUCCCUAAUCAUAUUUGCCACUUAUCAUCAUUGAAAGUAUUGGAGUUGCCACUUAUCGGUAUUUUGUGGAGAGGUAGUAGGUGUCAUUCCUGAAUUCACUGUUUUUAUCAGCUCCAGGAUGAUAUUGGAGGCUCUUGAAAGCAAUCGGAGAUACUUGGGUUGCUGAGGCCUUAGCCGGUCAGCAAAGGCCAGACACCAGUAGAGGAACUUAUGGAGAAUCUGGUUGGAUUGGGCACACAGGAAAUAGCGAGAGUGAUGGUACUUGCAGUCACAAACAGGCCUUUUGAUCUUGAUGAGGCCAUUAUUGAAAAAGGUCGAAGCUUAGAGAAUCUUGAAUUUAAAACCUCAAAAUUCAUCCUGAUCUAUGAGAAAGCAAUCUCCUAGAAGGAUCCACUAAUUGUGUGGCAUAUUAACUGCCAAGCAGCCUUGGUUUUUCUCUCUAUGUACACAUCGGCACUUAGAUGAUGACUACAAAAGCAACAAAACAAAUCCAACAACAGUGCAUCACUGUGAACUUUACAAAGAUGUAAUAGAAACCAUACCCAUAAACAGGGCAGCUUAUAACCCUGUUCGUUAAACCCA
Vitis vinifera (wine grape) is the source of this 1956-nucleotide long non-coding RNA. RefSeq lists it as uncharacterized. The record is from RefSeq and is a predicted model, not a curated record. The transcript has 4 exons. Lineage: Eukaryota; Viridiplantae; Streptophyta; Magnoliopsida; Vitales; Vitaceae.